This 117-nucleotide signal recognition particle RNA is filed under the name Homo sapiens (human). Its description in RNAcentral is "Metazoan signal recognition particle RNA". It matches the Rfam family "Metazoan signal recognition particle RNA". From Rfam's summary of the family: The signal recognition particle (SRP) is a universally conserved ribonucleoprotein. It is involved in the co-translational targeting of proteins to membranes. The eukaryotic SRP consists of a 300-nucleotide 7S RNA and six proteins: SRPs 72, 68, 54, 19, 14, and 9. Lineage: Eukaryota; Metazoa; Chordata; Mammalia; Primates; Hominidae. The record is from Rfam by way of RNAcentral.
GCUGGGCGUGGUGGCUCACGCCUGUAAUCCCAGCACUUUGGGAGGCUGAGAUGGGUGGAUCACCUGAGGUCAGGAGUUUGAGACCAGCCUGGCCAACACGGUGAAACCCCAUCUCUA